RNAcentral lists this ribosomal RNA (248 nucleotides) under uncultured bacterium. RNAcentral describes it as "partial 16S ribosomal RNA". It matches the Rfam family "Bacterial small subunit ribosomal RNA", at positions 524 to 771 of the family's 1533-position model. The record is from RNAcentral.
UACGAAGGGGGCUAGCGUUGUUCGGAAUUACUGGGCGUAAAGCGUGCGCAGGCGGCUUCUCAAGUCAGGGGUGAAAGCCCAGAGCUCAACUCUGGAACUGCCUUUGAUACUGGGUAUCUUGAGUAUGGAAGAGGUUAGUGGAAUUGCGAGUGUAGAGGUGAAAUUCGUAGAUAUUCGCAGGAACACCAGUGGCGAAGGCGGCUAACUGGUCCUAACUGACGCUGAGGUGCGAAAGCGUGGGGGAGCAA